UGCAGUCGAGCGGUAGAGAGAAGCUUGCUUCUCUUGAGAGCGGCGGACGGGUGAGUAAUGCCUAGGAAUCUGCCUGGUAGUGGGGGAUAACGUUCGGAAACGGACGCUAAUACCGCAUACGUCCUACGGGAGAAAGCAGGGGACCUUCGGGCCUUGCGCUAUCAGAUGAGCCUAGGUCGGAUUAGCUAGUUGGUGGGGUAAUGGCUCACCAAGGCGACGAUCCGUAACUGGUCUGAGAGGAUGAUCAGUCACACUGGAACUGAGACACGGUCCAGACUCCUACGGGAGGCAGCAGUGGGGAAUAUUGGACAAUGGGCGAAAGCCUGAUCCAGCCAUGCCGCGUGUGUGAAGAAGGUCUUCGGAUUGUAAAGCACUUUAAGUUGGGAGGAAGGGCAGUAAAUUAAUACUUUGCUGUUUUGACGUUACCGACAGAAUAAGCACCGGCUAACUCUGUGCCAGCAGCCGCGGUAAUACAGAGGGUGCAAGCGUUAAUCGGAAUUACUGGGCGUAAAGCGCGCGUAGGUGGUUAGUUAAGUUGGAUGUGAAAUCCCCGGGCUCAACCUGGGAACUGCAUUCAAAACUGACUGACUAGAGUAUGGUAGAGGGUGGUGGAAUUUCCUGUGUAGCGGUGAAAUGCGUAGAUAUAGGAAGGAACACCAGUGGCGAAGGCGACCACCUGGACUGAUACUGACACUGAGGUGCGAAAGCGUGGGGAGCAAACAGGAUUAGAUACCCUGGUAGUCCACGCCGUAAACGAUGUCAACUAGCCGUUGGGAGCCUUGAGCUCUUAGUGGCGCAGCUAACGCAUUAAGUUGACCGCCUGGGGAGUACGGCCGCAAGGUUAAAACUCAAAUGAAUUGAC
Molecule: ribosomal RNA, 862 nt
Filed under: Pseudomonas brenneri
Lineage: Bacteria; Pseudomonadati; Pseudomonadota; Gammaproteobacteria; Pseudomonadales; Pseudomonadaceae
Description: bacterial SSU rRNA
Rfam family: Bacterial small subunit ribosomal RNA
Source: RNAcentral